RNAcentral lists this long non-coding RNA (1893 nucleotides) under Salmo salar (Atlantic salmon). Its description in RNAcentral is "lncRNA (ENSSSAG00000115894.1)". Lineage: Eukaryota; Metazoa; Chordata; Actinopteri; Salmoniformes; Salmonidae. The record is from RNAcentral.
CAUUUUUUAAGGCUUCCAUUGGCUCUAGGAAGGCGCCAGAAAGUGGAAUGAGAGCUCUCCAGUCUCUGGGCGAAAAACAGCAGGGGUUUUUGUGAGUGGUCCUGCUGAGAACAAUGACACUGCAGCGCGCGUGCACGAGACGACUCCAUUUUUUCCUUUCAGUGUUUGAACGAAUACAACGUCACCCGGUUGGAAUACUAUCGCUAUUUUACGAGAAAAAUAGCAUAAAAAUGUAUUUUAAACAGCGUUUGACAUGCUUCGAAGUACGAUAAUGGAAUAUUUUGAAUUUUUUUGUCACGAAAUGCACCGUCAUUCAAGUCACUACCUUUCGGAUAGUGACUUGAACGCACAAACAAAACGGAGCUAUUUGGAUAUAACUAUGGAUUAUUUUGAACCAAAACAACAUUUGUUGUAGAAGUCCUGGGAGUGCAUUCUGACGAAGAACAGCAAAGGCGAAAUCCUAAAUUUGAUCAGACCGACUGAGGAGUCUGACGCUGAUCAUAACCAGCACCCACCAGCGCCAAAGACCCCCAAAUUCACCCCAAAAAUAUCUUCUAGACCCUCUUUGUCACUCUCUGCUGGGGGUCCUCAGUCCUCUUCGUCACAGGGGCCAGCUGCUCACAAGUCUGAAGAAUCAUCAAGACCCUGUUCCCGUGCUUCUUCGCUAGAAGAUUUUCUGGCAGUAGUCCAUGGAUUUCUGCAGGCUGAUUAUUCAGCACCUGAGGAAAUUGGCAGAGGAUGUCAGAGAGUUGCAAUACCAGACCACAGUAACAGGAACCUCUUAAUGUAACUGACCAAUGGGUCUCAUGGGGACAUGGUUCUGCCAGAGGACACUGUGCUUCCUCUGAAGGACAUGCCUUGCUGGAGGAGCUUGAACAUCGGCUUGCUGGGAAUGAGGAACUUCAGGAGAAAUUGGUGAGGUUUUUGGCUGCUAAAGGGGGCAAGACCGUCAAAGACUCUGUGAGGAGGAUGUUUGCCUGCCUUUUCUCCAACGACCUGUCCAGGCUUUGUAUCUAGACCGGCUUGGGACAUAAGAUCUCUUUCAGGCAGCUAUCUUUAAAAAGCAUUGUUCACAGAACGAUAAGAAAGAACCUCUCUACAAAAGAGGCAACAGAGGGGAACCUCCAAGAGGUGGUCUGUCACAUCCUGACCAGUAAUAGGGGUUAUUUGUUAUUAUAGUUUGGUCAGGACGUGGCAGGGGGUGUUUGUUUUAUGUGGUUUGGGCUAUGUAUUUAGGUAGAGGGGUGUUUGGUUUAUGUGGUCCGGGGUUUGUUAGUCUAUGUUCUAUGUUAGUAUUUUUCUAUGUUCUAUCUAGUCUAUUGUAGUUCUUUGUUUAGUUAAUUGGGGUUGGACCUUCAAUUGGAGGCAGCUGGUUAUUGUUGCCUCUGAUUGAGGGUCCUAUAAUUAGGAGUUUGUUUUCAUGGGGUUUUUGUGGGAGAUUGUGCUUGUUUAGCUGUGUGCCUGACAAGACUGUCCAGUUCGUUUGUGGUUUGUAUACGUUUAUUGUGUUUCCCUUCUUCACCAAAUAAAAAGAAGAUGAGUAUAUAUUUUCCCGCUGCGUCUUGGUCUUUACCCUUUCGACAACCGUGACAUGGUCGCAACAUUUUUGAAGGGAGCUGCUGACAGAGAAGGAGUUAGGAAAGAAAUACAAGCCAACUGAAGAGGCUCAAGAAACAAUUUUCUGUUUGUCCAUGUAAACUGUAUUGUACUGUACAUACUCAUUAUUUUGUAACAUAGGACAUGAUUUUCUUUAAUAACAAUUAGAAAGCCUAAAUCUAAAUCUAUAUGUAUAUUUAUUUUAUUAUUACUACUAAUUGUAUAAUCCUUAUAUUCAUCGUUACCAUGUAUUCAAUGUAGAUAUUUUAUAUUGUAAUGUGUUUUACAAUAAAUUUG